RNAcentral lists this long non-coding RNA (9249 nucleotides) under Triticum aestivum (bread wheat). RNAcentral describes it as "long non-coding RNA (TAES_LNC001127)". Lineage: Eukaryota; Viridiplantae; Streptophyta; Magnoliopsida; Poales; Poaceae. The record is from RNAcentral.
UUUUUUUUUUUUGCGGGUAACAUUCAUGCUAGUUAUUCCUAGGUCAACCAUACUUGGCUACACCCAGUAGUCAGUACGUGAAGUAAGUUAGUUACAGUGGGUACAGUAAGACAGCAGUGCAAGUGCACCUACCUUUGGCCGGAAGCUGUACCAACGGGAAAACGCCAUGGCACGGCAUCCCCACAGGCCACGGAGACGAACGUAGCGUUGGGGUGGGUUGGAUGGGUGCGCGCGCCCGUGGCCGUGGCCGUGGCGGAGCGGAGGCUGUAAGGAUGCGUUUGGUUAGCGGGAUAGAUUUAGGUGGUUAUGGGUAUCCCCAUCCAACUGGCUAGGGAUAGCCAUAUUUUAUGUUUGGUAGAAAGGAUGAUAAAUGGCUAUAGAUAGGCAACCUUGUGUUUGGUUGAAAGGAUAAGAGAUGGAUAGACUUGUUGACAUGACCUCUUUCUCAUGAGGUGGUGAGAUUAUCCUCUAAUGAAGAUGCACUUUCUACUACUAUGAACCAUUGGGGAUAUUUAAAUGCAGAUUAUACACCUGGUUCUUAACAACUACUUUGAGACAAAAACAAACUGAUCCCAAAAAGAUCUCGAUUACACAAUUUGAAUUCAUAUUCUGGAAUUGUUUCGUCAGUUCCUAAUGGUGGUUUGACCUACGUGCGCCAGCAUCAAACGAGCAGAACAUGCCCUUGCAAUCAAAUGAGAAAGAGGAUUAGCACUAAUACAACCGGCCGGCGCAUGUACGCAACAGUUGGUCGGCACAGAGCACGCACACGGACAUGACACACCCAGCCGGCGCAGAGCAGGCACACCCAGCCGGCGCAGAGCAGGCACACCCAGCCGGUGCAGACAAGGCACACCACACAAGCACAUCGGCCGGAGAGAGGAGUCUGGUGUCACCGGGUGCCCUGCUCCGUACCUCUGCCGCCACAUCUCUAUCUAUGGACGCUGCUGGGGAGAAAAACGAUUGGAGGUAGGGCGGUGCGCCGAGCGAAGGCCGGCUGCCCAUAUCCGCCACUUUUCGCCGGUUCCGCACAUCCAGUUUUUGAGGGCAUAUACAUGGAAUCUGGCUAUCCCCACCCACCUAAAUUAGUGAACCAAACGCCCGCUAUCCAUCUAAAAACUGGCUAUCCCUAGCCAAUCGAGGGAUAGCCCACCAACCAAACGCACCCUAAAGCGGAGCGAUCCAGCCGGAGCCUCCCGGGGUUUGUCAGUUGUCACGCACUCGGCACAAAGCGCUCGUCUUUCGGCCGCCUUAUCGCGACCGGCACGUCCGUCCGUCCGUCCGUCGGGCACGUUCUCGCUGGUCCCCCUCGGGCCGGUCUUGCUCCUCCGCACCUGCCCGCUCGCCUCGCCGGACAAAAAGGCCGCUCGCUCCUCUGUAAAGGUGGCGUUAAGAAUUCUCUCUCUCUUCUUUCGAGGAGCGCAGCUGCCGCCGGCCAUUGCUGUUGCCCGGGCCUCCGGUUCCACGGAUCAGGGGACCCGACCAGACCAGCUUUGCACUGUAGUAGUCCUGCAGUGGAAGCAGCUACGUACAGUACUUCUUCGAUAGCUGAGCUAGCGCGGCGGCGGUAAUAAAGACCGGCUGUCCUGUCACGGUCGCGAGUGGCAUGUCGGCUCGCAGGGCCGACCGCGGCGCAGCCGAGCGGGAGAUCCGUCCACGGUUGGCAUAUCCAUGGGCCAUGGCAAGGCAUCAACGGGCGAGAGAGCGACGGGGAGGAGUGAGGGAGGAAGAGAGCGUCGUGGCCUUCCAUGCCGGUAGAACCUGGCCCCGGUCUGCGCCGUAAGCGGAAAGGAUUGGGGCAAUGGCCAAUGGGGGCUCUAGUGCUCUCCAGCCAUACAGACUACUCGACUACUGCGUCGGCGGGGGACCAACGGGGCCGGCGCACAUGCACGUAGAGGUAGAGAGCCAUGGCAUGGAGGCAAUCGAGAUUACUGGACGGAAGACGGAGCAGAGACAAGACACGCAUGCUUUCUUUCUCGAGUACUGGUACUGGAUUGAGUACAUGUCUGGACCACCGGCCACCGCGCUCGCUAGGCUGCGCUACGCAGCUCCCUUUAAAUGGCCGGGAGCCUCCUUGCCGUUUUCGCCUCUCUGUCCGCAUCUGCUGCCGCCGGGUGUGCCGGCCGGUCCUUGCACCAGAGCGGUACUGCAUCGGCAUCGGCAUCGACACUGCUCUCCGCUUGUUCUGAAUGCUGGGUUUGUCUAGUGCUGUGACGGUACGAGAGUAACGGAGUACGUGCGUGUUACUCGAUCACGAAAAUGACCAUGGCAAUUCUGAAUUACGGCACGGCAAAUCCGCAGCCGACGCACGGAAACGCCAUGGGAAACCACGUGCAAGAACCGUAUCGGUUUCUGUACACCUAAGCACGUGGGCGGGGCUUUGGAUUUUGGUCCGACAACGGCGAACCGGAUCACCGAUAGUGUACAGAGACAAACGAGCCGGCGAUAUUAUUAUUAUUAUUUAAAAAAAAUUACAGGCAGAAGAGUACAAGAGAGACUCCGUUUCUUUUCUCUCCCACGGAGCCAUGCAUGGACAGCGGUAACGACAUGAACACAGUACACGCUCCUAGAUCUGGGACAAGAUGAAGAAAUCCACCCCCAAUGAUCACGGCGAUCAUCUCGCCGGCCGGGCAGCACUGUACCUCCAUCCUGAAUCCUGAUUGGAGUUCAGUUUGACCAUAGCUUAGGGCCUGUUUAGUUUCAAUAAAUCAUCUGAUUUAUAAGUCAGGUGACUUAAAACCAGUGACUUAGGUUGGUCAUAGUGGGGAGUAACUUAGACUAGUAACAUACAUAUGUUACUAGUCUAUGUUACUACCUUCAUAGUGGGUAGUGUCAUAGGUGUGGUAACAUAGUUGCCUUCAUUUAUUACUUUGUAGACUCAUUAUGCAUUGGAAACCGCUAUGUAAUGGUAAUAUAUUAUGUUACUCUAUUUGCAUCUUUCCUCAUUAACUACUUGCCACAUCAUCAUUUUUGCUUAUGUGGCAUCUAUGUUACUACCUAUGUUACUCCCACUAUGACCAGCCUUAUAAGUCAUGCCUGUUUGGUUGUCGCCUGACUUAUAAGUCAGGUGAGCACACCUUCCCAUCUUGUUUUUUAAUGUAAAGGUGGUGGGACCCAUGCAAAAGGGGGUGACUUAUAAGUUUUAAGUUGGGAUGGAGCAACUUAUGACUUAUAAGUUAGGAUGACUUAUAAGUUAGGUCUGUUUGAUAAAAUAAGUCACUUUUUGCACUUUUCGACUUAUAAGUUGAUGACUUAUUUGAAACCAAACAGGUCCUUAGCUUAGCUUAGCUUAGCUUGUGUCCGGCGAUGAUGGACAUGGGACGGGGCAGAGGGGAAGCAUCAUGUGCCCAUGAUUGUGCCUGUCCAUGGCGGAGCGCUCUGAUCCCAGCGCGCACACGUGAAUCGUGUGCGCAUACAUUUGAAAUACACACGCACAGUCUGUGCUGUAGCGGCCUAAAGACUCUGAAUUCUGAUUGACGCGUGUGCUAUUAAUGGUACUGUAGUUAGUCAUCAUACACUAACACGGUUUAUUGUACAACAUGGGCUCGGGCGCGGCACAUUAUUAUUCACCAAAAACGUGGAGGAAACAUGGUAAUGGAUCGGUUAAGGUGUGUCGUCGAUGGUGAUUUAUUACAGGGUCUCGUCAGGGUCGUCGAUGGAUGACGACAUGAACUACGUAUGUUAUACGUGGUUCAUCCCCGGACGGUGACAAGGAUAUGCGACAACAAUUGGACAAGUCGUGGAGUAUUUUCUCUGGCCUUUUGUGGUAACUUCUUCACACACCCAAAAUGAGAUUUGCGUAUGUGGCAUCCGUGAGCUGCUACGACGCCGACGCUGUCCCGAAAGAUCCAAAAAUAACAGUUCGAUAAGAUUACCACUAGCAGACCACGUGUUCAUCACGACGCGGUUCUGACUUGUGAGGCAGCCAGCUACUUUUGCCAAGGAAGUGUGCUAUGUUUGCCGAAAGCUAGGAGGAUUUCAUCGCCUUUUUACUUUAACAAAUGGCCUUGUUGUUAAUCACGCCCCACAAGUUCAGUAGCUGAAGAUUAACCUCAGCUUUGAUCGUCGUAUCUGGCUAAAGAAGGAUCGAGGAAUUGCAGACAGCGUGUAACUGAAGUUGUGAAAUGCAGUGCAUGACUCCAUUUCACAAGCUAAGCUACGACCCAACUUCGAUCAGAGAAAAAGUAACAGCAGAUGCAGCAAUGGCGAACGGUAUGCAACAUAAGAGAAAAAGAACGUGAUGGAAAAUUUCAAGAUUCCAAACAAAACCGAUCGAAAACGAGACUAAGCAAAACUGCCAUUACAGUAAGGAAGAACGAGCCUGAAUUUCCAAAGGUUGCAUGGGUUUCAGUGGUACCUGAGUUGGAAGCGCAAUGCGGACGAGAAGCUUAAUAUUCUUCAGACGAAAUCCGGCCUGCCUGCCUGCCUGAUGCCUCCCUCUCAGAGACGAGCAGAAGCUCUUGGGCUCAUCCUAACAAGAUACUAGGCUCCAAAACCCAGCGAGCAGGCAGGUCGAGGGCCCUUAAAAGCGGCUGUUAUUUGCCUGCAAAUUAAGCUUCGUCAGGCCCCCACUGAGGCACUCAGUUCCCUCCCCCCUCUGCAAGUCUGCAUACAUAACAUACCUUUCCUUGUCCUCCUCCCCCCUUUGCUUCUAAGGAGGAUCUGCUCCCAUAUUAUUUUUUCCUCAUAUACAUGUGCUUUUUAAUCAGUCAGUCAUGGCUCAGCCUCAUGGGGCACACUGCUGUGCCGUGUCUUCUUUAAUUUACAGAUUGGAACAGUGCAUCGGCUUUCCCAAAGACAUAUGUUCUCGCCCUCAUCAGCGCCGAUUAAUCAUUGGUUAGUCUGUGUAUCUGUGGGUGAAUAUAUCACGUUAGCAUUUUGGCCAUGUGCUGAUGUGCUGAUGCAUGUGCACAUGUGUGUACAAAGGUGCCCGGUAUCUGACCGCUGCUCCACUUCGACACAGUAUAAAGCGGCAGAAUCUUAGUAGAGCUGGACGCUUUUGUACUGGCCACUGGCUACUGGCUAGCUGGUGAAGAAGGUUCCUAGUAGUGGUACACAUUGCUGUUUUCUGAUGCAGUGAGUAUUGAUUAGAGGACUGGAAAUGGAGGUGCUAUCAAGUCACGGCAGUGUUACUGUUCAGUGGCUUUUAACUAACUGCGGCAGCGUUACUGUUCAGUGGCUUUUAACUAGCUGCGGCAGUGUUACUGUUCAGUGGCUUUGAACUAACUAGUGCAGGUUCAGCAUAGUGGAACAGUGGAUGCCGAAGAAAGCAGCCAAAUGUAGCUACAGGACCAUGCAUUACGGCAUUGAUUAGCAUUUGGCGUUUACACAUCUCGUGCAGCACUGGCUAGCUAGUGGUUAAGUGGCAGUAGCCCGUAAGUUAAGUUUGAUCGUACCGCACUAACCAGUUGCUGCUUACUGCACCAAAAUGGUACAAUCGCACUGUAUAAGUACCUUCAGAGAGAAAAUCGGGAAGGGACAUGUAAGUCUGAUGCAGGAGUACUAGCACUGAUGAGUGAGCGGUUAGGCAAAAAUCAGAGCUCACAGGAUUGUUGUUCAUCAGAGAGAAAAAAGAGAAAAGAGCUCACAGGUUCGCGCCAUCAAAGCAGAGGAAGCAUCCAGGGAAAGCAGAGAGAGGGGAAGGCAUGAGUAUCGCUCAAGAGCACAUGACUUAGCACUGACUACUGCCAAAAGAAUAGGGGCUCAACUGGGCUAAACCCGGGGCAUGGCAGGCAUAAUUGUCUAUCAUGCCUAUGCCUUUGCAUCAACGCAGCGUGACUCGGACGGUUGCUCCCCGGCUUUCAGAUAAGGAGCGAGCAUCACACGGCGUGCAAUGAGACAGCUAAGCGUGCGCCGAGAGCUCGACCGCUUAAUCCGCUUACGUCUCCGUAUAUAAUUUGAAUGGUCCCAAAAUUGUUUGAAUUCAGCCAAAUUGUCUUUGUCCAUGAGUUGUGGCAGGUCAUCAUUCUUGCUCUGAGUGGCCAGUUGUCCUUGCUUGCACUUGUCAUGUUCCAUGCUUGGUGCAGAGGAUAUGGGCGUAAGUGCCAUUUGAAUGUAACAUCAGAGUGAGGUUUCAGUUUCACAAGCUUGGGAUUCAGUGCUGCAAUUUAUUUUGAUCGGCUGAUUCAGUUCCUGGAAAGGAAGUUUCCGUUCUUUAGGCUUCAGCAUAACUUUGCUUGGAUCGGGGAAUGAAACACUCAGAGAAUGCUAAGAUGCAGUUGCUUCAAAUAAGGCUCAGGAAAAGCAGCAUUUCGGCUUGUUUUAGAAUCUAUUCUCGUUCGAGACUUGAGAAUUUGUCAAAGUGGAAUCACACUUUCCUCUUUUAAAGCUCUCAUAAACGGGGCGGGGCAAUGCAACCCUUACCUUCCAUGAGACAGAUGCUUCUUGUUGGGCCAAGAAAACAAAAUAAGCAUCCCUGUCAUCUGUAAUAAGCUUACCGGAAAUAUAUUUGGUACUAUUAGUUUCGAGAGUAGCAUAUACACCAUGGAGAUCAUCCACAUAUUCAGCAAGACGAUGGUACUGAUAUUGGAAUUAUCGGCCAUGAAGGAUAUGGAUGGGUACAUGUACAUAUUAAGAUAUAGUACAAAAUAAGAAGAAAAAAAGGGAAACAUAACGGUUUCGAAAAUAAACGUGAUUUGACUUCAGUUGCAGCACAAUGUCAUGUAUUUGGAAGAAUGAUUCAGGAAAGGUUGUGUCAGAUGACAGAAGGGGAUAGGCGCAUGACUAUUUCCCAAAGGUAAAUUCAGAUAUACGCCGCUUUGAAAUGUCCGUUUCCGAUUACGAUAUUUGUACCGCUGCGAACCGAUGGUUUGGAAAAAUGUCAUCGCAAACUCAACAUCUUCUGAACAACUUCUGUCACUGUAUCUGUUGGGUCAGGAAUACUGUUGAAAGAAACAACACCAUCGGUUUUCGCUCCAAGUCUCACAAUGCGUCACCAUUAGCAGCUAAGGUGUCAGCAAAGGGCGAUUUUUGUGAUUGCUGAGUCUUAACACCGGUACUCAACCACAAUUAUUGUCCACUACAAAAGCUUGUUAGCUAGGCUGUUUGCAGUAAUAGGCCUAUCACUGAAAGUAGGUGUCACCUAAUGGGCAUAAUUUGGUCACUCAGACUCAAAGUGAUAAUAGUUGAAGGCUGCCAGUGGAGAGGUAAUUGAAGCUCACUGCCUAUGUAGAUAAAAAGGAUGCAUGCAUGAGUAGUUUCUUGUAAAAAGAUCCCUAGUGGUGGAUACAUUGUGUAUGUGGACUUUAACUAGAACUCUGUGAUGGGAUUAUACCUUGAAGCAGAAGGAACAUGCAUGUCAUGACUCAUGAAGUCAUGAUAGUAAUCAAGGUUGUUGCUAGUGUUGCUUGGUGAUUAGGUCUCAUUCACUCUAGCUUAUCCAAGUUGCUGAUGACAUAUUGAUUCUUUUCUCUGCGUGUGAAUCAACAUUGGUAUUUUUUUAAUAAGAUUAUGAACAGGAUGUGCCCUGGCAGGUAAUGUGCAUGUUUAGUUCUUCUUGCUUUUGAUCUAGAGCACGCAUUCUUAAUGUAACAGAACAUGUGCCUUUGGCAACCAAGUUAAUUUCAAGAAGAUUUUUGUGGUCAAAUUUACUUUUGACAAAUAUUAGACCGCGAGACAAAAACAGUGACAUGUAUCAUAUAAUAGAUCAUAUGAUAUUGUGACAUCUCUUUGUGUCAGUGGGACAGAUGAACAAAGCUUGAAAGGAAGAGACCGGUAUAAGGGGAACCAUCAGUCAAUCACCAUUAGUUUGUUCUGCUUGUCUGAACUUAAGUUGAAAGCAAUCCUGGAAAUCCCAACAACCAGCUCUGCAGAAUUGAUAGAUAACAUCAAUAGAUAAUCUAACAUUAUAUGUCAGCAUUAUAUCAUCUUUUACUAAAGAAGAAACCAUGCUAUAUUCCUCCUUCUCCGAUGUCGGCAAAAUGACACUGUAAGGAAUUGACAGGUGUAAAUUUGAUUUGACAAACUAAGUUUUGUUGCCAAUUUUGCAGCUGCAUACUCACAAUAACUAAACUGCAGCUUAACUGUACCAUCACCAAGUCAAAUAUGCUAUACAAUUGAACACACGCUUGCAGGAAGUUGCCAAGACAGUACAGAUAGGUGGCAUGCUUUGUUUGCCGAUUAACACAUGAUCCUUAGUUUCUAAGGCAAAUCAAGAAUAAAAGAAUCAGCAUGUGCUCAAUAGGAUGUCACAGAAUACAUACAAGGGGUAUGGUAAAGGUAGGUGAUUGUGCAAAAUGUAACCAGUACAUGUUUGUAUAUUUUUGACUAUUGUAUUCAGAGAAGUGUCUUUGGAAAUGACAUGGACUAACUAGCCAUCCUUCUCAUCAUACCGACCAAAACUAGAGGGUUCCAUACUUAGAAAACCUUUAUUGCAUGAUUCUCAAAUGUGAGAAUACCCAUACGAGAAACACUUAGAGCUUAAGUAUCAACUUUUAUUAAUUGUGGAACCUGGUUUGACAAUACCACCUUCAGUAGGUUGUCAAAUCCACCAUCUUUACAGGUGGCUGACGGAAGAAGUGGAUGAAUAAAUUUUUGGGGGAAUGUUUGGGACAACAUAAUUUCAUAGGAAAUAGUUCAAUCUGGAACCCAGAAAAUUUCUUGCGUUCCAAACCGGACCUUCUAAGAGGCUUAGAUUAGUGAAUUACUCCUGCUCAAUGAUUCACACUGGAAAUAGGUAUUCCAAUACUGAUAGUUUUCUGAAAAUUGGAUAAUUGCUUCAACCAAGCACAAAGGUUACACAAGAAUUCAGUAAACAGUUCUGACUAAUACCAUAGUUAUGCUAUAUAACAUAACAAUAACAUUUACAUAUGACAAUAGUAGUGCAGCUUACCUGGGUGCCCCAGAAUAAUGCCGGCACCUUAUCUAAUCUAGAAACAUGCCGUCAAGAUUUGAGCAGUUGACUAAUUGACCACCCACAGAUACAGCUAACACUGUCCAUCACCAAGUGAUUCCAAACACUGAGACAUCAAAGGACAUGCACCAUUCAAGUACUUAGUGUAAACACACAUACGCCACAUAACAUAACAUCAGAGAAGACUUUGGACAUAAGGUGGUUCUCUAAUUUUUCAAGUACCGCCUCUGGAGCAUUUCAGUUCUCAGCUAAGCGACAGGAGCGGCAGCAGACUGAGCAGAAUGCGCAUCCUUAGGCUGACCAGGAGGCGGCGGGUACCGUGGCACAUAAGGAAGAAGAGGAGUGCCAUGCUCGAUUGGAGCUGGCCUGAUACUUGCCUUCGAGCUUGGACUUGGGUCAAU